Molecule: ribosomal RNA, 593 nt
Filed under: Aneurinibacillus aneurinilyticus
Lineage: Bacteria; Bacillati; Bacillota; Bacilli; Caryophanales; Paenibacillaceae
Description: bacterial SSU rRNA
Rfam family: Bacterial small subunit ribosomal RNA
Source: RNAcentral
UGCAUAGCUACUUAUAUACUGCAGUCGAGCGGACCAAAGAAGAGCUUGCUCUUCGGCGGUUAGCGGCGGACGGGUGAGUAACACGUAGGCAACCUGCCUGUACGACUGGGAUAACUCCGGGAAACCGGAGCUAAUACCGGAUACGUUUUUCAGACCGCAUGGUCUGAAAGAGAAAGACCUUUGGUCACGUACAGAUGGGCCUGCGGCGCAUUAGCUAGUUGGUGGGGUAACGGCCUACCAAGGCGACGAUGCGUAGCCGACCUGAGAGGGUGAUCGGCCACACUGGGACUGAGACACGGCCCAGACUCCUACGGGAGGCAGCAGUAGGGAAUCUUCCGCAAUGGACGAAAGUCUGACGGAGCAACGCCGCGUGAACGAUGAAGGUUUUCGGAUCGUAAAGUUCUGUUGUUAGGGAAGAACCGCCGGGAUGACCUCCCGGUCUGACGGUACCUAACGAGAAAGCCCCGGCUAACUACGUGCCAGCAGACGCGGUAAUACGUAGGGGGCAAGCGUUGUCCGGAAUUAUUGGGCGUAAAGCGCGCGCAAGCGGCAUCUUAAGUCAGGUGUGAAAGCCCCACGGCUCAACCGUGGAG